This 938-nucleotide long non-coding RNA is filed under the name Olea europaea subsp. europaea. Lineage: Eukaryota; Viridiplantae; Streptophyta; Magnoliopsida; Lamiales; Oleaceae. The record is from RNAcentral.
GAUUCUUAAGGAACUUGGUAAGGGGUAAGAUGGGUAUAAGCUCUCCCAAAACGAACAAUACAUAUGAAUUAAUAACUUGGGCACAUGCCCGAAUCGUUACAUUAUGCAGAUAUUUAUGUAUCGUAUUCGUUUCAUUAACUGUUGCUUUGAAAAUUGGAAUUAUGGCUUAAUCCUUAACUGUCAUAAUCUGUCCCCGUCUUAAUUCGAUAAAAUAUAUAUUUAUAUUACGUCUAACAUGGACAAAAUUAUCAUUUUCAGGGUGAUGGACAGCUCUUAUGGGAUGUGGAUGACCAAAGACAAAAAUUUAUUAAUGAGAUAGGGUUCAGCAACAACUUGUGUUCAUUUCAUUAAAAAUUUUGUCUAACUUCUUGUUCAUUUCAUUUGGUAAACACUCAAUCAUUGUCCAGAAUAUAUAUAGAAAUCUCCUUGCCGCCCAUUUAUAUAAAUUUUAUAGGUCGAACAUUUGAUAAAAUGAGUCGAUAUGACCUACAAGUGUAGGGACGCGUCAAAAAUCAAUGUCAAUUUAUCCUUUUAGGUGAAUUAGUUUAACGUUUUAUGCUGAAUGAAUCUAUUCAGGUUGUAAGGAAUUAGAAAUUGCACACGCAGAAAUGGAUGUUAUUCCCAAGUAUCAAAUAGUAAUGGAGAACAGAAGAAGGUGGCAGUCGAUGAAUAAAGAAUAUGAAGAAGCAAAAGCAGUGGACAUUUACAACCGUCCAAUGAGAUCAGAUUUUAUUUUUCCCAUCAGAUCCUUUGUUCUUGUCCAAUCCUAAAAGUAUAUGGGAGCAUAAAUUCCUGCAAAUAUGUUCCAUGGAUUGACCAAAUUAUAUUGUAAAGAUUAAUCCCUUGUUUGAACCACAUUAUUGUAAUGAAAAUGCACUAUUGAAUAAUAUAUUGAUGGAAAAUGUUUUGAAUUUGUAUGUAAUAUUAUUUUAUUAAAG